This 616-nucleotide ribosomal RNA is filed under the name uncultured bacterium. RNAcentral's name for it is "bacterial SSU rRNA". It matches the Rfam family "Bacterial small subunit ribosomal RNA", at positions 173 to 791 of the family's 1533-position model. The record is from RNAcentral.
AUAUCCCCGAGGGGCAUCCCUGGGGGAGGAAAGCUCCGGCGGACGGGGAUGGGCAUGCGGCGCAUUAGCUAGACGGCGGGGUGACGGCCCACCGUGGCGACGAUGCGUAGGGGUUCUGAGAGGAAGGUCCCCCACACUGGUACUGAGACACGGACCAGACUCCUACGGGAGGCAGCAGUGAGGAAUAUUGGUCAAUGGCCGGAAGGCUGAACCAGCCAAGCCGCGUGAGGGAAGACGGCCCUACGGGUUGUAAACCUCUUUAGCCGGGGAACAAGGCGCGGGACGAGUCCCGCUGUGAGCGUACCCGGAGAAUAAGCAUCGGCUAACUCCGUGCCAGCAGCCGCGGUAAUACGGAGGAUGCGAGCGUUAUCCGGAUUUAUUGGGUUUAAAGGGUGCGUAGGCGGUUGCUUAAGUCAGCGGUCAAAUGGCGGGGCUCAACCCCGUCCAGCCGUUGAAACUGGGUGGCUUGAGUCGGCGAGAAGUACGCGGAAUGCGCGGUGUAGCGGUGAAAUGCAUAGAUAUCGCGCAGAACUCCGGUUGCGAAGGCAGCGUACCGGCGCCGUACUGACGCUGAGGCACGAAAGCGUGGGUAUCGAACAGGAUUAGAUACCCUGGU